CCAGCAGCUGCGGUAAUUCCAGCUCCAAUAGCGUAUAUUAAAGUUGUUGCAGUUAAAAAGCUCGUAGUUGAAUUUCUGUACAGGACAGCCGAUUCGCCUAGUGUGUAAUCCUGGUUCGACCUGUGCAUUUUUCUGGAGAACGUUUCUGUACUUGAUUGUAUGGAGCGGUAUCCAGAAGUUUUACUUUGAGAAAAUUAGAGUGUUUCAAGCAGGCGUCUGUCUUGAAUACUACAGCAUGGAAUAAUAACAUAGGACUUUGGUUCUAUUUUGUUGGUUUCUAGAACCGAAGUAAUGAUUAAUAGGGAUAGUUGGGGGCAUUCGUAUUUGACUGUCAGAGGUGAAAUUCUUGGAUUAGUCAAAGACGAACUACUGCGAAAGCAUUUGCCAAGGAUGUUUUCAUUAAUCAAGAACGAAAGU
RNAcentral lists this ribosomal RNA (417 nucleotides) under uncultured eukaryote. RNAcentral describes it as "SSU rRNA". It matches the Rfam family "Eukaryotic small subunit ribosomal RNA", at positions 567 to 990 of the family's 1831-position model. The record is from RNAcentral.